RNAcentral lists this ribosomal RNA (105 nucleotides) under uncultured bacterium. RNAcentral describes it as "partial 16S ribosomal RNA". It matches the Rfam family "Bacterial small subunit ribosomal RNA", at positions 1369 to 1482 of the family's 1533-position model. The record is from RNAcentral.
CGUUCCCGGACCUUGCACACACCGCCCGUCAAGCCAUGGAAGCUGGGUGUACCUAAAGUCAGUAACCGCAAGGAGCUGCCUAAGGUAAAACUGGUGACUGGGGCU